UGGGGAAUCUUGGACAAUGGGGGCAACCCUGAUCCAGCGACGCCGCGUGGGUGAUGAAGGCCUUCGGGUUGUAAAGCCCUUUUGCCGGGGACGAUGAUGACGGUACCCGGCGAAUAAGCACCGGCUAACUCCGUGCCAGCAGCCGCGGUAAUACGGAGGGUGCUAGCGUUGUUCGGAAUUACUGGGCGUAAAGGGCGCGUAGGCGGCCGUGUGCGUCGGAUGUGAAAGCCCGGGGCUCAACCUCGGAACGGCAUCCGAUACGGGGCGGCUGGAGACCGGGAGAGGAGGGUGGAAUAGCCAGUGUAGAGGUGAAAUUCGUAGAUAUUGGCUGGAACACCGGUGGCGAAAGCGGCUCUCUGGCCCGGAUCUGACGCUGAGGCGCGAAAGCGUGGGGAGCAAACA
RNAcentral lists this ribosomal RNA (402 nucleotides) under uncultured prokaryote. RNAcentral's name for it is "bacterial SSU rRNA". It matches the Rfam family "Bacterial small subunit ribosomal RNA", at positions 355 to 774 of the family's 1533-position model. The record is from RNAcentral.